AGGUAAUGUCUACUAGACCUUUAUCACUGUAGAUACUCGAUCAUGCUGUGGGCGCGUGCCGCCUUAGAUGUAAAUCAUCGGUGGUGUGAUGUGAGGUGGGGUUAAAUGCCCU
Molecule: regulatory RNA element, 112 nt
Organism: Paenibacillus pectinilyticus
Lineage: Bacteria; Bacillati; Bacillota; Bacilli; Caryophanales; Paenibacillaceae
Rfam family: epsC RNA
Source: Rfam